GAUGAAGAACGCAGCGAAAUGCGAUAAGUAAUGUGAAUUGCAGAAUUCCGUGAAUCAUCCAAUCUUUGAACGCACAUUGCGCCCCCUGGCAUUCCGGGGGGCAUGCCUGUCCGAGCGUCAUUUCUGCCCUCCAGCCCGGCUGGGUGUUGGGCGCUGUCCCCCCGGGGACACGCCCCAAAGGCAGUGGCGGCGCCGCGUCGGGUCCUCGAGCGUAUGGGGCUUUGUCACCCGCUCGGGACGGACUCGUCGGCGCUGGUCUUCCUCCAGGCGACCCUUCGGGGCUCGUCUUCCUUCGGUUGACCUCGGAUCAGGUAGGGUUACCCGCUGAACUUAAGCAUAUCAAUAAGCGGAGGA
RNAcentral lists this unclassified non-coding RNA (354 nucleotides) under soil metagenome. RNAcentral describes it as "partial contains 5.8S ribosomal RNA, internal transcribed spacer 2, and large subunit ribosomal RNA". The stretch from base 1 to 120 matches the Rfam family "5.8S ribosomal RNA", at positions 35 to 154 of the family's 154-position model. The record is from RNAcentral.